GAUGAACGCUGGCGGCGUGCCUAAUACAUGCCAGUCGAACGAUACUUCCUUAUCACCUGGUGCUUGCACUCGCCGAUGAAGAGUUGAGUCGCGAAUGGGCGGGUAACAACUCGGGAAUCAGCCCAAGAGACGGGGAUUACUAUCGGAUACAGGUGUUAACACCACAUAACGAUAGUUACCGCAUGGUACGUUUUUGAUAGGUGGCUGUCCUACCGCUUUUGGAUGGGCCUGCGGCGCAUUAGCUGGUUGGAAGGGUAAAGGGCUACCAAGGCAAGCAUGCGUAGCCGAAGUGAGAGGGGGAUCGGCCACAUUGGGACUGGGACACGGCCCAAACUCCUACGGGAGGCAGCAGUAGGGAAUCGUCCACAAUGGGCGAAAGCCUGAUGGAGCAACGCCGCGUGGGUGGAGAAGGUGUUCGGAUCGGAAAACCCUGAUGUUAGUGAAGAAAGUGCGUGAGAGUAACUGUUCACAUAUCGACGGUACCUAAACAGAAAGCCACGGCUAACUACGUG
RNAcentral lists this ribosomal RNA (512 nucleotides) under uncultured bacterium. RNAcentral describes it as "partial 16S ribosomal RNA". It matches the Rfam family "Bacterial small subunit ribosomal RNA", at positions 28 to 507 of the family's 1533-position model. The record is from RNAcentral.